RNAcentral lists this ribosomal RNA (736 nucleotides) under uncultured bacterium. RNAcentral's name for it is "bacterial SSU rRNA". It matches the Rfam family "Bacterial small subunit ribosomal RNA", at positions 65 to 797 of the family's 1533-position model. The record is from RNAcentral.
CAGCAUGACGAUUGCUUGCUAUUGUUGAUGGCGACCGGCGCACGGGUGAGUAACGCGUAUCCAACCUGCCCUUGUCCAUCGGAUAACCCGUCGAAAGGCGGCCUAACACGAUAUGCAGUCCACAGAAGGCAUCUGACGCGGACGAAAUGUGAAGGAGAAGGAUGGGGAUGCGUCUGAUUAGCUUGUUGGCGGGGUAACGGCCCACCAAGGCGACGAUCAGUAGGGGUUCUGAGAGGAAGGUCCCCCACAUUGGAACUGAGACACGGUCCAAACUCCUACGGGAGGCAGCAGUGAGGAAUAUUGGUCGAUGGGCGAGAGCCUGAACCAGCCAAGUAGCGUGCAGGAUGACGGCCCUAUGGGUUGUAAACUGCUUUUAUGCGGGGAUAAAGUGGGCCACGUGUGGCUUAUUGCAGGUACCGCAUGAAUAAGGACCGGCUAAUUCCGUGCCAGCAGCCGCGGUAAUACGGAAGGUCCGGGCGUUAUCCGGAUUUAUUGGGUUUAAAGGGAGCGUAGGCCGUCUGGUAAGCGUGUUGUGAAAUGUCGGGGCUCAACCUGGGCAUUGCAGCGCGAACUGUCAGACUUGAGUGCGCGGGAAGUAGGCGGAAUUCGUCGUGUAGCGGUGAAAUGCUUAGAUAUGACGAAGAACUCCGAUUGCGAAGGCAGCCUGCUGUAGCGCAACUGACGCCGAAGCUUGAAAGCGUGGGUAUCGAACAGGAUUACAUACCCUGGUAGUCCA